This 77-nucleotide transfer RNA is filed under the name Alphaproteobacteria bacterium. RNAcentral's name for it is "tRNA-Met". It matches the Rfam family "tRNA". From Rfam's summary of the family: Transfer RNA (tRNA) molecules are approximately 80 nucleotides in length. Their secondary structure includes four short double-helical elements and three loops (D, anti-codon, and T loops). The record is from RNAcentral. RNAcentral also lists the same sequence under 1 other name. Lineage: Bacteria; Pseudomonadati; Pseudomonadota; Alphaproteobacteria.
GGCGGGGUAGCUCAGUUGGUUAGAGCAGGGGAAUCAUAAUCCUCGUGUCGGGGGUUCAAAUCCCUCCCUCGCUACCA